CAGCAGAGACGCCAAUACAGACGACAAAACCAGCAGUCUUCAUCUGACUCUGGUUCCUCCUUCUCCUCAGAAGAUGAACGACCCAAGAGAUCCCAUGUGAAGAAUGGUGAGGUUGGCAAGCGGCGGAGACAUUCCCCUUCCCGGAGUGCUUCUCCAUCACCACGAAAGCACCAAAAAGAGACUUCCCCUCAUGGUAGACGGAGGAGAAGUCCAUCCCCACCACCCACCAGAAGGCGACGGUCUCCUUCUCCCGCCCCUCAUCCUCGACGGCUCAGGACUCCCACACCACCACCACCACGACGAAGGACUCCUUCUCCUCCCCUACGUCGGCGCUCACCUUCUCCUAGAAGAUACUCUCCUCCAAUACAGAGGAGAUACUCUCCUUCUCCACCUCCAAAGAGAAGAACGGCUUCACCUCCUCCCCCUCCUAAACGAAGAGCAUCACCAUUUCCACCACCAAAGCGGCGGGUCUCCCAUUCUCCACCUUCCAAAGAAGCUCCCCAGUCACCAAGAGACGUUCACCUUCACUAUCAUCCAAGCAUAGGAAAGGGUCUUCCCCAAGCCGCUCUACCCGGGAGGCCCGAUCACCGCAUCCAAACAAAUGGCAUUCGCCCUCAUCACGGCCUCGAGCUCCUCAGACCUCAAGUCCUCCACCCGUUCGAAGAGGAGCGUCGUCAUCACCCCAAAGAAGGCAGUCCCCGUCUCCAAGUACUAGGCCCAUUAGGAGAGUCUCCAGGACUCCGGAACCUAAAAAGAUAAAAAAAGGCUGCUUCCCCAAGCCCACAGUCUGUAAGGAGGGUCUCAUCCUCCCGAUCUGUCUCUGGGUCUCCUGAGCCAGCAGCUAAAAAGCCCCCAGCAUCUCCAUCCCCCAUCCAGUCUCAGUCACCGUCUACAAACUGGUCACCAGCUGUACCGGUCAAAAAGGCCAAAAGCCCAACACCGAGCCCAUCACUGCCAAGAAAUUCAGAUCAAGAAGGAGAUGGAAAGAAAAAGAAGAAAAAGAAGGACAGGAAACACAAAAAGGAUAAGAAGCACAAGAAGCACAAAAAACACAAGAAGGAAAAGGCUGUGGCUGCAGCUGCUGCAGCUGCUGUGACCCCUGCAGCCAUUGCAGCUGCCACAACCACAUUAGCACAGGAAGAGCCAGUGGCAGCGCCAGAGCCGAAGAAGGAGACUGAAAGUGAAGCUGAAGAUAACCUUGAUGAUUUAGAAAAGCACCUGCGUGAAACGGCCCCGAGAUCAAUGAGG
Molecule: long non-coding RNA, 1248 nt
Filed under: Homo sapiens (human)
Lineage: Eukaryota; Metazoa; Chordata; Mammalia; Primates; Hominidae
Description: non-protein coding lnc-FAM84B-15:131
Source: RNAcentral